GACGAACGCUGGCGGCGUGCCUAACACAUGCAAGUCGAGCGGGGUCCAUCCGGUAGCAAUACCGGGGAAGACCUAGCGGCGAACGGGUGAGUAACACGUGAGAAACCUGCCCCGAAGUCUGGGAUAACCCGAGGAAACUCGAGCUAAUACCGGAUGUCUUCUUCUGAUCGCAUGGUCGGAUGAAGAAAGAUUUAUCGCUUCGGGAGGGUCUCGCGGCCUAUCAGCUAGUUGGCGGGGUAACGGCCCACCAAGGCGUCGACGGGUAGCUGGUCUGAGAGGACGAUCAGCCACACUGGGACUGAGACACGGCCCAGACUCCUACGGGAGGCAGCAGUGGGGAAAAUUGCGCAAUGGGCGAAAGCCUGACGCAGCAACGCCGCGUGCGGGAUGAAGGCCUCGGGUUGU
Molecule: ribosomal RNA, 405 nt
Filed under: uncultured bacterium
Lineage: Bacteria
Description: bacterial SSU rRNA
Rfam family: Bacterial small subunit ribosomal RNA
Source: RNAcentral